CAGUCGAACGCACUGGCCCAACUGAUUGAUGGUGCUUGCACCUGAUUCGACGAUGGAUCACCAGUGAGUGGCGGACGGGUGAGUAACACGUAGGUAACCUGCCCCGGAGCGGGGGAUAACAUUUGGAAACAGACGCUAAUACCGCAUAACAACAGAAGCCACAUGGCUUUUGUUUGAAAGAUGGCUUUGGCUAUCACUCUGGGAUGGACCUGCGGUGCAUUAGCUAGUUGGUAAGGUAACGGCUUACCAAGGCGAUGAUGCAUAGCCGAGUUGAGAGACUGAUCGGCCACAAUGGAACUGAGACACGGUCCAGACUCCUACGGGAGGCAGCAGUGAGGAAUAUUGGUCAAUGGACGCAAGUCUGAACCAGCCAAGUAGCGUGCAGGAUGACGGCCCUCCGGGUUGUAAACUGCUUUUAGUUGGGAAUAAAAGGGGGCUCGUGAGCCCCGUAUUGUAUGUACCAUCAGAAAAAGGACCGGCUAAUUCCGUGCCAGCAGCCGCGGUAAUACGGAAGGUCCGGGCGUUAUCCGGAUUUAUUGGGUUUAAAGGGAGCGUAGGCCGGCUUUUAAGUCAGCUGUGAAAGUCCGCGGCUCAACCGUGGAAUUGCAGUUGAAACUGGAGGCCUUGAGUGCACACAGGGAUGCCGGAAUUCAUGGUGUAGCGGUGAAAUGCUUAGAUAUCAUGAAGAACUCCGAUCGCGAAGGCAAGUGUCCGGGGUGCAACUGACGCUGAGGCUCGAAAGUGCGGGUAUCAAACAGGAUUAGAUACCCUGGUAGUC
RNAcentral lists this ribosomal RNA (778 nucleotides) under uncultured bacterium. Its description in RNAcentral is "bacterial SSU rRNA". It matches the Rfam family "Bacterial small subunit ribosomal RNA", at positions 59 to 795 of the family's 1533-position model. The record is from RNAcentral.